Molecule: ribosomal RNA, 492 nt
Filed under: uncultured bacterium
Lineage: Bacteria
Description: partial 16S ribosomal RNA
Rfam family: Bacterial small subunit ribosomal RNA
Source: RNAcentral
AGUGAACGCUGGCGGUAGGCCUAACACAUGCAAGUCGAACGACAGCAUAGUAAGAGCUUGCCCUUACGGGUGGCGAGUGGCGGACGGGUGAGGAAUACAUCGGCAUCUACUUUUUCGUGGGGGAUAACGUAAGACAACUUACGCUAAUACCGCAUACUUCCUACGGGUGAAAGCUAAGGAGCUUCAGACUUUUCCCGUUUCAAUGAGACGAUGUCGUAUUAGCUAGUUGGCGGGGUAAAGGCCCACCAAGGCGACGAUCCGUAGCUGGUCUGAGAGGAUGAUCAGCCACACUGGAACUGAGACACGGUCCAGACUCCUACGGGAGGCAGCAGUGGGGAAUAUUGGACAAUGGGCGCAAGCCUGAUCCAGCCACACCGCGUGGGUGAAGAAGGCCUUCGGGUUGUAAAGCCCUUUUGUUGGGAAAGAAAAGCAGCAGAUGAAUACCCCGCUGUUCUGACGGUACCCAAAGAAUAAGCACCGGCUAACUUCGUG